Molecule: ribosomal RNA, 780 nt
Filed under: uncultured Ascomycota
Lineage: Eukaryota; Fungi; Ascomycota
Description: LSU rRNA
Rfam family: Eukaryotic large subunit ribosomal RNA
Source: RNAcentral
CUUGCCUGUAGUUGCUUAUCCGGACUUUUGUCCGGUGCACUCUUCUGCGGGCAGGCCAGCAUCAGUUUAGGCGGUUGGAUAAAGGUCUCUAUCACGUACCUCCCUUCGGGGUUGGCCUUAUAGGGGAGACGACAUGCAACCAGCCUGAACUGAGGUCCGCGCAUCUGCUAGGAUGCUGGCGUAAUGGCUGUAAGCGGCCCGUCUUGAAACACGGACCAAGGAGUCUAACAUCUAUGCGAGUGUUUGGGUGUCAAGCCCAGACGCGUAAUGAAAGUGAACGGAGGUGGGAACCUUUUAGGUGCACCAUCGACCGAUCCUGAUGUCUUCGGAUGGAUUUGAGUAAGAGCAUGGCUGUUGGGACCCGAAAGAUGGUGAACUAUGCUUGAAUAGGGUGAAGCCAGAGGAAACUCUGGUGGAGGCUCGCAGCGGUUCUGACGUGCAAAUCGAUCGUCAAAUUUGGGCAUAGGGGCGAAAGACUAAUCGAACUAUCUAGUAGCUGGUUCCUGCCGAAGUUUCCCUCAGGAUAGCAGUAACGUAUUCAGUUUUAUGAGGUAAAGCGAAUGAUUAGAGGCCUGGGGGUUGAAACAACCUUCACCUAUUCUCAAACUUUAAAUAUGUAAGAAGUCCUUGUUACUUGAUUGAACGUGGACACUUGAAUGUACCGUUACUAGUGGGCCAUUUUUGGUAAGCAGAACUGGCGAUGCGGGAUGAACCGAACGCGGGGUUAAGGUGUCAGAAUAUACGCUCAUCAGACACCACAAAAGGUGUUGGUUCAUCUAC